GGAAGUACUGGUACCCCUUGAUAGUUCUUGAAUAACUUCCCCAACAAUGUCUCAACAUCAUCAUCAGAUAUGUCGUCAAGGGACAUCUGCGACAGGUCAUCAAAACCCGAGUAGUCCGAGCCUGAGCGAGCUCGUUGUUGCACAGGCUGAACCCUCCGCUUGAGAAAACUAGCAGCCACAUUGAUGCUAGUUAAACCAAACGACUUCAACUCGGCAAUCUGAGUCAGCAGGUUAGCAAUUUCAGGG
Molecule: long non-coding RNA, 246 nt
Filed under: Setaria italica (foxtail millet)
Lineage: Eukaryota; Viridiplantae; Streptophyta; Magnoliopsida; Poales; Poaceae
Description: long non-coding RNA (SITA_LNC002375)
Source: RNAcentral